RNAcentral lists this long non-coding RNA (322 nucleotides) under Vigna radiata. RNAcentral's name for it is "long non-coding RNA (VRAD_LNC000916)". Lineage: Eukaryota; Viridiplantae; Streptophyta; Magnoliopsida; Fabales; Fabaceae. The record is from RNAcentral.
GGCGACAUUGUUGGUACCAGGGGGGUAUGGUUCGAAGAGUAUAACACAGCGGAAUAAAACUAAGAGUAGCGUAUAAGCGUGUUCGGUCACCUUUUUAAAACAAGUUGGUCCUUUUUCGAAAAACAAUUUUCUUUCAGAAAAUUUAUCGAACAGUUAAUAUGCGUAAAAUGAAAUGAGUGUAGGGAAUAGAAAAAUCACACAAGUAUUUUUAUACUGGUUCGAUUCAACAGAAUCUACGUCCAGCCGUUAAUCACUAUAAAUAGUGAUUAACAAUUCCACUAAAAAUAUGUUUCUCAUAUUACAAUUAUAGUGAAUGAAAGAC